CACCAUGGCUCAGUGGGAAUUGAUACCCACACAGAAACACUGUAUUCUGGCUUGGCAUCAUAACACGCAUAACACGCAAGAUAACAAAUAUUAAGUUCCAUUUUGCCUGAGGGCCAUAGCUGUGGUGACCAAAGUGAGAACUUCUACAUGAGAGAAUAACUUUCAUGGAACCAAAGGACUGCUGGAUCUUUGUAUUUGCUCUUUCUUUCCUACAACCCUGAGCAGCGCACGGCUCUAACCCUGUAAUGAGUGAUUCCCUGAAGAUCACAAAUUUUUAAGGUAAAGAAAUUAAGGCAGAGUAAAGUUUCAUCUCACUUGAUGUCCUCGAUUUCCUUCUCCGUGUUCUUUAUUUGCUUCUCCAAG
Vombatus ursinus (common wombat) is the source of this 363-nucleotide long non-coding RNA. RefSeq lists it as uncharacterized. The transcript is spliced from 3 exons. Lineage: Eukaryota; Metazoa; Chordata; Mammalia; Diprotodontia; Vombatidae. The record is from RefSeq and is a predicted model, not a curated record.